RNAcentral lists this long non-coding RNA (478 nucleotides) under Setaria viridis. Its description in RNAcentral is "long non-coding RNA (SVIR_LNC006519)". The record is from RNAcentral. Lineage: Eukaryota; Viridiplantae; Streptophyta; Magnoliopsida; Poales; Poaceae.
AUGGCCUCUAGGGCGACCAAAUUGGAUGGUAUAUGUGUGUGGGGAUGGAAGAUCGUUUCUCCAGUAGUGAAGAUUAGUCCCAAUUUUGCAAUUAGCAAUGAUCAGCAGUUAUCAAUAUUCUGGGUAGAGUGGGUUGAGCACUGAUUGACCCAAAUGCGUCUCAGUUGCUUGGCUAACGAUACUGGAGCUGAAGAACAGGUAUAUGGGGGCGUGAGUUCUGCCAUGAGAACUUGUACCGCUUAUAGAAUCGAAAGAGGCUUUCAUUUUCUUUUAGAAACACCACUAAACCAAAUGAAGGGAAGCCGCUGCCGCAGGUAUUUCAUCUAGACGUUAUAAACAGAAGACAAUUAAUAGGCUAUUUCAUCUAGACGUUAAUAGGCUACUAGAUUUAUGUAUUCCUUAAUGAUCUAGACAUAUAAAUUAUUUAAGCAUGAACAUUUCCCAACUUAUAUAUGCUUAUUCGAGGAGGAUAUCUUCU